AGAAGCGAGAAGCGCGUGCUGGGCUAGGGCUUGGGGGUGUGGCUCGCUGCUCUGCGCGCAGCGGAGCUGACGACCUCCCGUCCACACCUCGUCUUCUUUGGCGUAUCCUCUCAGUGACCCCGAAAGACACCAUCACUCCGAGCACCAAGUCCGCUAAGGGCAGGGUCUCUAAGAGUCAUCUGCAAAUGCUUCCUAUUAUGUGCUCAGUCAGGAUUUGCUGAGUAGACAGGAACUGGUGGACAGACAUUAUGCAUAUAGUAGAAGACUACAAGGACAGGAGCCCUCUUGUGAAGGUUGAAUGUUCAACCAAAGCAAAGAGCACCAGUAGCAGAUGGCCAAAGACUAUAGAAAAGGAAAGUACUCGCCCGUGGUGUGUUAAAGAGAAAUUUCCUGAAAAGGGCAUCACUGAGGCUAUGUGGUGAAAAAUGUCAGAACCACAGGAUGGAAUGAGCCUGGAUCCUGGAAUCACUCCUGAAAGAAAGCUUCCUAUGAGAAAUCCCAACCAUGAACACCUGCUUUGAACUUUAUGUGAUUGAUAAAUAAACAUUAAUUGUAUUAAGCCA
Long non-coding RNA from Neofelis nebulosa (Clouded leopard), 563 nucleotides. RefSeq lists it as uncharacterized. The transcript has 4 exons. Lineage: Eukaryota; Metazoa; Chordata; Mammalia; Carnivora; Felidae. The record is from RefSeq and is a predicted model, not a curated record.